This 358-nucleotide ribosomal RNA is filed under the name uncultured bacterium. Its description in RNAcentral is "partial 16S ribosomal RNA". It matches the Rfam family "Bacterial small subunit ribosomal RNA", at positions 338 to 693 of the family's 1533-position model. The record is from RNAcentral.
CCUACGGGAGGCAGCAGUGAGGAAUAUUGGUCAAUGGGCAGAAGCCUGAACCAGCCAAGUAGCGUGCAGGAUGACGGCCCUACGGGUUGUAAACCGCUUUUAUACGGGAAUAACGCGCCUUACGUGUAGGGCUUUGCCUGUACCGUAUGAAUAAGGACCGGCUAAUUCCGUGCCAGCAGCCGCGGUAAUACGGAAGGUCCGGGCGUUAUCCGGAUUUAUUGGGUUUAAAGGGUGCGUAGGCCGCAUGUCAAGCGUGCUGUGAAAUGUCCGGGCUCAACCCGGGCCUUGCAGGGCGAAUUGGCGUGCUUGAGUCCGAGGAAAGCAGGCGGAAUACGUAGUGUAGCGGUGAAAUGCUUAG